This is a small nucleolar RNA of Larimichthys crocea (large yellow croaker), 168 nucleotides long. Its record names the gene U3. It matches the Rfam family "Small nucleolar RNA U3". Rfam says of the family: Small nucleolar RNAs (snoRNAs) are involved in the processing and modification of rRNA in the nucleolus. NCBI's taxonomy places the organism in Eukaryota, Metazoa, Chordata, Actinopteri, Sciaenidae. The record is from Ensembl.
AUAAAAAUGAAUUAAUGAUUUGAUUAAACAAUACAUCCUCACGAUGAUGAGUCGUGAUGUUACCUUCUGAGCGUGAAGCAGACAGAGAAUAAUGAUUCAGUUCAUAUGUUGUUUGUCAGUGAUGAUCAUUCUGGGGAGUAUUGAGGAAAGGAAUUUGAUCAGAGUGGU